AAAACGACUCUCGGCAACGGAUAUCUAGGCUCUCGCAUCGAUGAAGAACGUAGCAAAAUGCGAUACUUGGUGUGAAUUGCAGAAUCCCGUGAACCAUCGAGUUUUUGAACGCAAGUUGCGCCCGAAGCCAUUAGGCCAAGGGCACGUCUGCCUGGGCGUCUCA
RNAcentral lists this ribosomal RNA (163 nucleotides) under Lysimachia maxima. Its description in RNAcentral is "5.8S ribosomal RNA". It matches the Rfam family "5.8S ribosomal RNA". Rfam says of the family: 5.8S ribosomal RNA (5.8S rRNA) is a component of the large subunit of the eukaryotic ribosome. It is transcribed by RNA polymerase I as part of the 45S precursor that also contains 18S and 28S rRNA. Lineage: Eukaryota; Viridiplantae; Streptophyta; Magnoliopsida; Ericales; Primulaceae. RNAcentral also lists the same sequence under 16 other names. The record is from RNAcentral.